GAUGAAGAACGUAGCGAAAUGCGAUAAGUAAUGUGAAUUGCAGAAUUCAGUGAAUCAUCGAAUCUUUGAACGCACAUUGCACCCGCCAGUAUUCUGGCGGGCAUGCCUGUUCGAGCGUCAUUACAACCCUCAGGCCCCCGGGCCUGGCGUUGGGGAUCGGCGGAGCCCCCCGUGGGCACACGCCGUCCCCCAAAUGCAGUGGCGGUCCCGCCGCAGCUUCCAUCGCGUAGUAGCUAACACCUCGCGACUGGAGAGCGGCGCGGCCACGCCGUAAAACACCCAACUCUUCUGAAGUUGACCUCGAAUCAGGUAGGAAUACCCGCUGAACUUAAGCAUAUCAAUAAGCGGAGGA
This 352-nucleotide unclassified non-coding RNA is filed under the name soil metagenome. RNAcentral describes it as "partial contains 5.8S ribosomal RNA, internal transcribed spacer 2, and large subunit ribosomal RNA". The stretch from base 1 to 120 matches the Rfam family "5.8S ribosomal RNA", at positions 35 to 154 of the family's 154-position model. The record is from RNAcentral.